RNAcentral lists this ribosomal RNA (425 nucleotides) under uncultured bacterium. Its description in RNAcentral is "partial 16S ribosomal RNA". It matches the Rfam family "Bacterial small subunit ribosomal RNA", at positions 354 to 796 of the family's 1533-position model. The record is from RNAcentral.
GUGGGGAAUAUUGGACAAUGGGCGAAAGCCUGAUCCAGCAAUGCCGCGUGAGUGAUGAAGGCCUUAGGGUUGUAAAGCUCUUUUACCAGGGAUGAUAAUGACAGUACCUGGAGAAUAAGCUCCGGCUAACUCCGUGCCAGCAGCCGCGGUAAUACGGAGGGAGCUAGCGUUGUUCGGAAUUACUGGGCGUAAAGCGCACGUAGGCGGUUACUCAAGUCAGAGGUGAAAGCCCGGGGCUCAACCCCGGAACUGCCUUUGAAACUAGGUAACUAGAAUCUUGGAGAGGUCAGUGGAAUUCCGAGUGUAGAGGUGAAAUUCGUAGAUAUUCGGAAGAACACCAGUGGCGAAGGCGACUGACUGGACAAGUAUUGACGCUGAGGUGCGAAAGCGUGGGGAGCAAACAGGAUUAGAUACCCGGGUAGUCC